GGGACACCUGAAACUCAUCACAGCAAAGGGCUAACUCCCCUAUGACCUUCAUUGAGGCCUCUCAGAAUUUGACAGAAAAUAAACAGAGGAUAGAAAUAGUUUACUGAAAUGCAAAUACAAAUGACUUUUUAACAUACAAGACAGCAACUAAUCUCACCAUUAUGUUUUAUUAUAAUGCACCAAUAAAAUGUGGAAAAAAGCAUACAGGACAGAUGUUCAGUCUCAUUUACUUUAAGGUGAAUGCAAAUAGAAGCUACUGAAACAUUCUGUAUUUAUUAAGAUGACAAACAUCCAAACACUUGAUAACACACUGUGUUGGUAAGGCUUUGGGGGAAAAUGACACUUUUGAAUAUUGUUGGCAGAGUGUAAAUUAAUGCAACUCUAUAUGGAAGGCACUUUUUUGCAAUAGCUAUCAAAAAUCACAAAUAUCCUGUGAACAAACAGAUAUCAGUGUGCAAAGUAAUUCAUUGUAGCACUGUGUCUAGUUAAGAGUUUGAAUACUAGAAUCUAAUAGCCUGGUUUUCAAUCCCAAUUCUAAUGCUAGCAUUGUGUCCUUGGGUAAAUUAUAAAAUCAUCUGUGCCUCAAUUCCUUUAUCAGCAAAAUGGAGGCAAAAAUAUCAUCCACCUCUUUGAGUUGGAGGGAGAAUUAAAUGAGUUAAUCUUUGUAAGCAGUAUUUACAAAAGUACCUGGCCCUUCGAUGCCUGUUUUAGCUAUUGUUUUUAACAUCAAAAGACUGUAAUGUAAAUAUUUACCAACAGGGAACUGAUUAAAUAAUAUGGCAGAUUUAUACAAUAUAGACGUAAAAGAUGAAUAAAUGUAGUUUUAUGAAAGUACCUCUAAGAUAUAUUUAGUGGGGGAAAAAGCGAGGAAUAUGGACAAUAUGUAAAGUAUUAUAGUAUUUGUUUGGGAGUUUUGUUUGUUUGUUUCAUUUUAUUUUAUUUGGUACUAGGGUGUGAACCCAGGGGCACUUUAUCACUGAGCUACAUCCCCAGAACUUUUUUUUAUUUUUUGAGUCAGGGUCUCACUAAAUUGCUCAGGCUGGCCUCAAACUUGUGAUUCUCCUAUCUCAGUCUCAGGGGUUUCUGGGAGUAUAGGCAUGUGCCAUGAGCCAUACAUAUUCUAUUUGUAUGAAAAAAAGAGAAAGAGAGAGACUAGCAGAAUAUGUUGUUUUAUAUAUGUAUUACAGAAAACUCUGGAAGGAUACUGGAAAGGCCUGAUAGGACAAAAGACAGAAAGGGGAAUUUUUCACUAUAUACGUUUUUAUAUGAAAGGCAUGUGCAUAUAUUACCUGUUUAAAAACUAUAUAUACCCCCACUCCCACACACACACACACACACAGAGGGGAUUUAACCCAGGAGCACUUUACCACUGAGCUACAUUCCCAGCUCCUCCCCUUUUUAAUUUUUAUUAUUAUUUUUAAAUUAUGAGACUGGGCUGGCCUCAAACUUGGGGUCCUCCUGUCUCAACCUCCAGAGUUUCUAGGAUUAUAGAGGCCUGUGUCACCAUUUUCAGCUAAAAAGAAUAAUUUUAAAACAGUUCAGAUGCACUAAAGAUCUGUAUAUCAGAGAAUCUACGAAGUCUGAAAACAUCAAAUGUCAAGGAUUUAUGGAAAUAUGGGCUAGUAUAUAUUGUAGUGGAAGUGUAAACUGAUAUUAUUAAGAAAGCAAGGCAGUUAGUGUUUUGGACUAAAUAUCAGUCCUCCGCAAAUUCAUUUAGUUUACUGAACUGCAAAUACAAAUGACUUUUGGUGGGCCUUUUAGAGAUAAUUAGGCUUAGAUUAGGUCAGGAAAGUAAACCUCACUUCUUGCCAAAUGCAGAGACAUAAGAAGAAGAAUAAAGGGCCAUGGGAAGACACAGUGAGAAAACAGCUAUCUGCAAGCCAAGAAAAGUGUUCUAACCAAAAUUUGACCUUGGAAGCAACCUAACCUUGGAAUUCCAGCCCCCAGAACUAUAAGAAAAUAAAUGUGUAUUGUUUAAGUCACCUAGUAUAUGGCAUUUUGUUGUAGUAUCCAAGCUGAGUCUGGGGCCUUAGUCAUAAGCAGUAGAAAAUAACUCUGGUUGGUUGUUUUUAAACAGAAAAGGAGCUUAGUGAAAAAAAUAUUAAGAUGAUUACAGAAUCUCCAGAAGGACUGGGUAACAACCUUGGGAACAUAGGAGAAAAUGGACUCUGUGUUGACAAACCAGAGCAAGCUUUAAUGCCACUAAACUAGUCUGGGGAGCCAUCUCCACCACAGGAAAACACAACUUUUUUUCUCUCUUUUUUUAAUUGAUUUUUUAAAAAAAUAAAUGACAGUGGAAUGCAUUACAAUUCUUAUUACACAUAUAUAGCACAAUUUUUCAUACCUCUGGUUGUGUAUAAAGUAUGUUGAUUCCAAUUCAUGUCUUCAUACGUGUACUUUGGAUAAUGAUGUUUAUCACAUUCCACCAUCCUUACUAACCCCCUACACCCUCCUUUUCCCUUCCACCCCUCUGCCCUAUCUAGAGUUCAUUUAUUCCUCCCAUGCUCCCCCUCCCUACCCCACUAUGAACCAGCCUCCUUAUAUCAUAGAAUACAUUCAGCAUUUGGUUUUUGGGGAUUGGCUAAUUUCACUUAGCAUUAUUUUCUCCAAUGCCAUCCUUUACCUGCAAAUACCAUGAUUUUAUUCUCUUUUAUUGCUGAGUAAAAUUACAUUGUGUAUAUAUGCCACAUUUUUUUUUAAUCCAUUCAUCUACUGAAGGGCAUCUAGGUUGGCUCCAAAGUUUAACUAUUGUGAAUUGUGCUGCUAUAAACAUUAAGGUAGCUGUGUCCCUGUAGUAUGCUGUUUUUAAGUCCUUUGGAUAUAGUCUGAGUAGAGUCAUAGCUGGGUCAAAUGGUGGUUCCAUUCCCAGAUUUCCAAGGAAUCUCCAUACUGCUUUCCAUAUUGGCUCCAAUUUGCAGCCCACCAGCAGUAUAUGAGUGUACCUUCCCCACCCCGCCAUCCUCUCCAACACUUACUGUUGUUUGUCUUCAUAAUAGCUGCCAUUCUGACUGGAGUGAGAUGAUAUCUUAGAGUAGUUUUGAUUUGCAUUUCUCUAAUUGCUAGAGAUGAUGAACAUUUUUUAAUAUAUUUGUUGAUUGAUUGUAUAUCCUCUUCUGAGAAGUGUCUGUUCAGGUCCCUGGCCAUUUAUUGAUUGGGUUAUUUGCUGGGUUUUUUGUUGUUGUUGUUGUUGUUUUGUUUGUGCUUAGCAUUUUGAGUUCUUUAUAUACCCUGGGGUUUGUGUUCUAUCUGAUGUGUGAGGGGUAAAAAUUUGCUCCCAGGAUGUAGGCUCUCUGUUCACCUCACAGAUUAUUUCUUUUGCUGAGAAGAAACUUUUUAGUUUGAAUCCAUCUCAUUUAUUGAUUCUUCGUUUUAAUUCUUGCGCUAUAGGAGUCUUAUUAAGGAAAUUGGGGCUUAAUCCCACAUGAUGACGAUUAGGGACUACUUUUCCUCUAUUAGACACAGAGUCUCUGGUUUAAUUCCUAGGCCCUUGACCCACUUUGAGUUGAGUUUUGUGCAUGGUGAGAGAUAGGGAAUUUAAUUUCAUUUUGUUGCAUAUGGAUUUCCAGUUUUCCCGUCAUCAUUUGUUGAAGAUGCUAUCUUUUCUCCAAUGCAUGUUUUUGGCACCUUUGCCUAAUAUAAGAUGAUUGUAAUUUUGUGGGUUAGUCUCCAUGUCCUCUAUUCUGUACCAUUGGUCUACCAGUCUGUUUUGGUGCCAAUACCAUGCUGUUUUUGUUACUAUUGUUCUGUAGUAUAAAGAUCUGGUAUAGCAAUGCAACCUGCUUCACUCUUCUUGCUAAAGAUUGCUUUAGCUAUUCUGGGUCUCUUAUUUUUCCAGAUGAAUUUCAUGAUUGCUUUUUCUAUUUUUAUGAGGAAUGACUUUGGGAAUUUGAUCAGAAUUGCAUUAAAUCUGUACAGUGCUUUUGGUAGUAUAGUCAUUUUGAUAAUAUUAAUUAUGCCUAUCCAAGAGCAAGGUAGAUCUUUCCGUCUUCUAAGGUCUUCUUUAAUUUCUUUCUUUAGGGUUCUGUAGUUUUCAUUGUAUAGAUCUUCCACCUCUUUUGUUAAGUUGAUUCCCAAGGUUUUUUUUUUUGAGGUUACUGUAAAUGGGGUAGUUUUCCUCAUUUCCUUCUCAGAGGAUUUGUCACUGAUAUACAGAAAUGCCUUUGAUUUAUGGGUUUUGAUUUUAUAUCCUGCUACUUUGUUGAAUUUAUUUACUAGUUCUAGAAGUUUUCUGGUGGAGCUUUUUGGGUCUUCCAGGUAUAGAAUCAUAUAAUCAGUGAAUAGUGCUAAUUUAAGUUCUUCUUUUCCUAUACAUAUCCCUUUAAUAUAAUUGCUCUGGCCAGUGUUUCAAGAACUAUGUUGAAUAGAAGUGGUGAAAGAGGGCAUCCCUGUCUUGUUCCAGUUUUUAGAGGGAAUGCCUUUAAUUUUUCUCCAUUUAGAAUGGUAUUUGCCUGAGGCUUAGCAUAGAUAGCCUUUAUGAUGUUGAGACAUGUUCCUGUUAUCCCUAGUUUUUCUAGUGUUUUCAACAUGUAAAGGUGCUGUAUUUUGUCAAAUGCUUUUUCUGCAUCCAUUGAGAUAAUCAUAGGAUUCUUUUUUUUUUUAAGAGAGAGAGAGAGAUUUUUUUUUUAAUAUUUAUUUGUUAUUUUUCAGCGGACACAACAUCUUUGUUUGUAUGUGGUGCUGAGGAUCCAACCCAGGCCGCAUGCAUGCCAGGCGAAUGUGCUACCACUUGAGCCACAUCCCAGCCCCGAUCAUAGGAUUCUGAAAGUCUAUUGAUGUGAUGAAUUACAUUUAUUGAUUUCUGUAUGUUGAACCAACCUUGCAUUCCUGGGAUGAAUCCCACUUGAUCAUGGUGCACAAUCUUUUCGAUAUGUUUUUGUAUUCGAUUUACCAGAAUUUUAUUGAGAAUUUCUACAUCUAUGUUCAUAAGAAAUAUUGGUCUAAAAUUUUCUUUCUUUGAUGUGUCUUUGCCUGGUUUGGGAUCAGGGUGAUAUUGGCCUCAGAAUGAAUUUGGAAGUGCUCCCUCUUUUUCUAUUCCUGAAAUAAAUUGAAGAGUAUUAGUAUUAGUUCUUCUUUAAAGGUCUUUCCUGUAGAACUCGGUUGUGUAUCCAUCCGGUCCUGGGCUUUUCUUGGUUGGUAACCUUCUGAUGGUGUCUUCUAUUUCCUCACUUGAUAUUGGUCUGUUUAAAUUUUGUAUAUCUUCCUGAUUCAAUAUGGGCAAAUCAUAUGACUUAAGAAAUCUUUCGAUGUCUUCAAUGUCUUCUAUUUUAUUGGAGUAUAAAUUUUCAAAAUAAUUUCUAUUUUUCCUCUGUAUUUCUAUAGUGUCUGUUGUCUGUUGUACCUUUUACAUCAUGUAUUCUGAUAAUUUGAGUUUUCUCUCUCCUUCUCUUUAUUAGCAUAGCUAAGGGUCUAUCAAUUUUAUUUAUUUUUUCAAAGAACCAACUUUUUGUUUUGUCAAUUUUUUCAAUUGUUUCGAUUUCAUUGAUUUCAGCUCUAAUUUUAAUUAUUUCUUGCCUUCUUCUGCUUUUGCUGCUGAUUUGUUCUUCUUUUUCUAGGGCUUUGAGAUGUAAUGUGAGGUCAUUUAUUUGUUGACUUUUUCUUCUUUUAAGGAAUGAAAUCCAUGAAAUGAACUUUCCUCUUAGUACUGCUUUAUAGUGUCCCAGAGAUUUUGAUAUGUUGUGUCUAUGUUCUCAUUUACCUCUAAGAAUCUUUUAAUCUCCUCCUUGAUGUCUUCUGCAACCCAUUGUUCAUUCAGUAGCAUAUUUUUUGGUCUCCAGGUGUUGGAGAAAUUUUUAUUUUUUAUUUUGUCAUUGAUAUCUAGUUUAAUUCCAUUAUGGCCUGAUAAAAUGCAUGGUAGUAUCUCUACUUUUUUGUAUUUGCUAAGAGUUGCUUUAUGGCAUAUUACAUGGUCUAUUUUAAGAAGGAUCCAUGGCAAACCCAACUUCUUUAUGGCACUAGCUUCAACUUCAGAAUCAUGGUUGGGGAAUGGGAGUGGAGGGCUGUCUACCUGAGUAGGAUUCAGCCACAACCAUGUUCUUUGGCUUCCAAAAUGUUUGGCAAAGAAAAUAGCACACAUUUGUAUCUUCUGUAAUGAGAGAUGAGUUCUGCCAUCCACUGCCUUAUAAAUAGGAAUUUCUUCAAACAGAGUAAGAAGACUCAGAUACAGGGCAGCUGAAAAAUAAUAAAUGUCCCUGUAAGAGGACAAUCUGUUUCAUGAUGAGCAAUUUUACUUCUAAGUAUAAACCCAAGAAAUUUUUAUAUAUGUAUUCAAAAAAUUAUUACUUAUAUUCAUUGUCUCUAAAAAGAUAAAACUAGAAAUAACUCCAUUUUGUUCAUUAGCAGGAAAAUGGAUAAAUGGUUUAGUCAUGCAAUAGAAUACGGGAUAGUAAUUAAAUCAAUGAAAAAGAACUAUGGGUAUCCAUAGGAAAAAAUCUUUACAAAGAUUGAAAACAAAGUUGCAGAAUACAGUAUGCUACUAAUUAUAUAAAAUGUAACCAUAUGCAAAAUUCCAGUGUAUAUUGAGAUAGACUUAUGUGUCAUGAAAGUAUGAAAACAUGCAUGGAAUAUGUAGAUGACUUUGAGGGAAUGAAAGAGAUUAAGGUAGUUUGGAACUUUAGCUAUCAUAUUUCUUAAAAAAAAAAAAAAAAGCCAAAUUUAGAAAACAUUAGUAGUUGCACCGUGAACAAAGUCAUUGUUUUAGACCUAACUAAAGACAGCUAUUAAUGCAAACUCCCUCUUCCCCCAGUAAGUGCCUGUAACUCUUAAGUUCCCUCCUGUUACUUAAGAGUGAAUGUGUUUUUCUAGAUUUAAGGCCAAAUUCUCUUAACUGUGCACUAAAUCCAGCCCCUCUCACCUACUCAAGUUGUCCUCUUUUCAACAUCAUCAGAUUUUCCUUCUCUACCAAAUUUUCCCCAAAUACAAACAUAGUAUAAAAGUCACAUCUUUAGCUGGGCGUGGUGGCACACACCUGUAAUCCCAACAGCUUGGGAGGCUAAGGCAAUGAAUUCAAAUCCAGCCUCAGCAAAAGCAAGGUGCUAAGCACUAAGUGAGACCCUGUCUCUAAAUAAAAUACAAAAUAGGUCAGGGGAUGUGGCUCAGUGUUUAUUCAAACCACAAAGGAGGAGGGUACAAGGAAUUUCUUAUUUCCUACUUCUUACCAUUUCCUAUUUUCCCCUUUUUUAAAAAAAUAUUUUUUUUAGUUAUAGAUGGACACAAUACUUUUAUUUUUUAAAAUAUGGUGCUGAGGAUUGAACCCAGUGCCUCAUAUGCCAGAUGACUGCACUACCACUGAGCCACAACCCCAGCCCCCCUAUUUCCCCUUUUUACCAUUAGCUCAUUCCUUUGCUUUUUACCACAAAAAUCCUUAGAACUAUCUAAACUUCUCUUCUCCAGUUUCUCUCUUUCCAUUUAUUCUUGAAACUCAUUCCACUCAGGUUUUCACUCCAUUUCUCCAGAACUACUCAAGGGCAACCAAUGAAUUUCAUAUUGUUAAAUCAGUUGUCACUUUCUAGUCCUCUGCUUUUGAUACAUUUGACAUAGGUGAUCACUUCCUUCACCUUGUAACACUUUGGUCUCUUGUUGUGAUAAGAGUCUGGAUUAUUGUUCAUUUUGGAUUAUUCAUUCUAUUUACCCCCCCUCUGUGGGCUGAAUAUAUUUCCUACUCCACUGAUAUUGGACGUGGCUAGGUGACUUACUCUAGUCAAUGGAAGAUAAGCCAACAUGAUGUGAACAGAGGCCUUCAAUAUACUCUGGGAUGUCCAUAUAUGAAUACAUGACCAGUGUAAUUCCACAUUAUGUACAAACACAAGAAUGGGAAGUUAUACUCUGUGUAUUACUCUAUUUAUGUAUAAUAUGUCAAAAUACACUCUACCAUCAUGUAUAACUAAAACAAAUACAAAUAAAAAUUUUAAAAUAUA
RNAcentral lists this long non-coding RNA (7913 nucleotides) under Marmota monax (woodchuck). The record is from RNAcentral. Lineage: Eukaryota; Metazoa; Chordata; Mammalia; Rodentia; Sciuridae.